AUUGAACGCUGGCGGCAUGCUUUACACAUGCCAGUCGAGCGGUAACAGGCGUUCGUUUCCUCACGAGUGGUGGACGGGGGCGGAAUGCAUCGGAACGUACCCCGAGGUUGUGGGUAACGCAUCGCAUGGUGUGCUAAUACCGCAUGCGAUCUGAGGAUGAAAACGGGGGAGCGCGCAGCAAUGUUUGGCCUCGCGCCUUUCGAGCAGCCGAUGUCGCAUUAGCUAGUUGGUUGGGUAAAGGCCUACCAAGGCGACGAUCCGUAGCUGAUCUGAGAGGAUGAUCAGCCACACUGGAACUGAGACACGGCCCAGACUCCUACGGGAGGCAGCAGUAGGGAAUCUUGGACAAUGGGCGCAAGCCUGAUCGAGCAAUGCCGCGUGCGGGAAGAAGGCCUUCGGGUUGUAAACCGCUGUUGGCAGGAACGAAAAGAUGUCCGAGAAUACCGGCAGCUAAUGACGGUACCUAAAGAAUAAGCAACGGCUAACUACGUG
RNAcentral lists this ribosomal RNA (492 nucleotides) under uncultured bacterium. Its description in RNAcentral is "partial 16S ribosomal RNA". It matches the Rfam family "Bacterial small subunit ribosomal RNA", at positions 30 to 507 of the family's 1533-position model. The record is from RNAcentral.